RNAcentral lists this ribosomal RNA (253 nucleotides) under uncultured bacterium. RNAcentral describes it as "partial 16S ribosomal RNA". It matches the Rfam family "Bacterial small subunit ribosomal RNA", at positions 524 to 776 of the family's 1533-position model. The record is from RNAcentral.
UACGAAGGGGGCUAGCGUUGCUCGGAAUUACUGGGCGUAAAGCGCACGUAGGCGGCUUCUUAAGUCGGUGGUGAAAUCCUGGAGCUCAACUCCAGAACUGCCUUUGAUACUGAGGAUCUUGAGUUCGGGAGAGGUGAGUGGAACUGCGAGUGUAGAGGUGAAAUUCGUAGAUAUUCGCAAGAACACCAGUGGCGAAGGCGGCUCACUGGACACGUAUUGACGCUGAGGUGCGAAAGCGUGGGGAGCAAACAGG